This 116-nucleotide ribosomal RNA is filed under the name Neogale vison (American mink). Lineage: Eukaryota; Metazoa; Chordata; Mammalia; Carnivora; Mustelidae. The record is from RNAcentral.
GUCUACGGCCAUACCACCCUGAACGCGCCCGAUCUCGUCUGAUCUCGGAAGCUAAGCAGGGUCGGGCCUGGUUAGUACUUGGAUGGGAGAAGCAAGACAUGGUUUCACUGGAGGAA